GAACUGCGAUAAGUAAUGUGAAUUGCAGAAUUCAGUGAAUCAUCGAGUCUUUGAACGCACAUUGCGCCCCCUGGUAUUCCGGGGGGCAUGCCUGUCCGAGCGUCAUUGCUGCCCUUCAAGCCCGGCUUGUGUGUUGGGUCGUCGUCCCCUCCGGGGGACGGGCCCGAAAGGCAGCGGCGGCACCGCGUCCGGUCCUCGAGCGUAUGGGGCUUUGUCACCCGCUCGAUAAGGACCGGCCGGGCGCCAGCCGGCGUCUCCAACCUUUUUUUCUCAGGUUGACCUCGGAUCAGGUAGGGAUACCCGCUGAACUUAAGC
RNAcentral lists this unclassified non-coding RNA (315 nucleotides) under plant metagenome. Its description in RNAcentral is "partial contains 5.8S ribosomal RNA, internal transcribed spacer 2, and large subunit ribosomal RNA". The stretch from base 1 to 105 matches the Rfam family "5.8S ribosomal RNA", at positions 50 to 154 of the family's 154-position model. The record is from RNAcentral.